This 598-nucleotide ribosomal RNA is filed under the name uncultured Anaplasma sp. RNAcentral describes it as "bacterial SSU rRNA". It matches the Rfam family "Bacterial small subunit ribosomal RNA", at positions 839 to 1435 of the family's 1533-position model. Lineage: Bacteria; Pseudomonadati; Pseudomonadota; Alphaproteobacteria; Rickettsiales; Anaplasmataceae. The record is from RNAcentral.
CUCCGUGUUGUAGCUAACGCGUUAGCACUCCGCCUGGGGACUACGGUCGCAAGACUAAAACUCAAAGGAAUUGACGGGGACCCGCACAAGCGGUGGAGCAUGUGGUUUAAUUCGAUGCAACGCGAAAAACCUUACCACUCCUUGACAUGGAGAUUAGAUCCUUCUUAACGGAAGGGCGCAGUUCGGCUGGAUCUCGCACAGGUGCUGCAUGGCUGUCGUCAGCUCGUGUCGUGAGAUGUUGGGUUAAGUCCCGCAACGAGCGUAACCCUCAUCCUUAGUUGCCAGCGGGUAAUGCCGGGCACUUUAAGGAAACUGCCGGUGGUAAACUGGAGGAAGGUGGGGAUGAUGUCAAGUCAGCACGGCCCUUAUGGGGUGGGCUACACACGUGCUACAAUGGUGACUACAAUAGGUUGCAAUGUCGCAAGGCUGAGCUAAUCCGUAAAAGUCAUCUCAGUUCGGAUUGUCCUCUGCAACUCGAGGGCAUGAAGUCGGAAUCGCUAGUAAUCGUGGAUCAGCAUGCCACGGUGAAUACGUUCUCGGGUCUUGUACACACUGCCCGUCACGCCAUGGGAAUUGGCUUAACUCGAAGCUGGUGCGC